Molecule: ribosomal RNA, 512 nt
Filed under: uncultured bacterium
Lineage: Bacteria
Description: bacterial SSU rRNA
Rfam family: Bacterial small subunit ribosomal RNA
Source: RNAcentral
GAGUUUGAUCGUGGCUCAGGACGAACGCUGGCGGCGUGCCUAAUACAUGCAAGUAGAACGCUGAAGGAGGAGCUUGCUUCUCUGGAUGGGUUGCGAACGGGUGAGUAACGCGUAGGUAACCUGCCUGGUAGCGGGGGAUAACUAUUGGAAACGAUAGCUAAUACCGCAUAAUAGUAGAUGUUGCAUGACAUUUGCUUAAAAGGUGCAAUUGCAUCACUACCAGAUGGACCUGCGUUGUAUUAGCUAGUUGGUGAGGUAACGGCUCACCAAGGCGACGAUACAUAGCCGACCUGAGAGGGUGAUCGGCCACACUGGGACUGAGACACGGCCCAGACUCCUACGGGAGGCAGCAGUAGGGAAUCUUCGGCAAUGGACGGAAGUCUGACCGAGCAACGCCGCGUGAGUGAAGAGGUUUUCGGAUUGUAAAGCUCUGUUGUAAGAGAAGAACGAGUGUGAGAGUGGAAAGUUCACACUGUGACGGUAUCUUACCAGAAAGGGACGGCUAACUACGU